AACGAACGCUGGCGGCAUGCCUAACACAUGCAAGUCGAACGAACCCUUCGGGGUUAGUGGCGCACGGGUGCGUAACGCGUGGGAAUCUGCCCUUUGCUUCGGAAUAACUCAGGGAAACUUGUGCUAAUACCGGAUGAUGUCUUCGGACCAAAGAUUUAUCGGCAAGGGAUGAGCCCGCGUAGGAUUAGGUAGUUGGUGGGGUAAAGGCCUACCAAGCCGACGAUCCUUAGCUGGUCUGAGAGGAUGAUCAGCCACACUGGGACUGAGACACGGCCCAGACUCCUACGGGAGGCAGCAGUGGAGAAUAUUGGACAAUGGGCGCAAGCCUGAUCCAGCAAUGCCGCGUGAGUGAUGAAGGCACUCGGGUAGUAAAGCUCUUUUACCAGGGAUGAUAAUGACAGUACCUGGAGAAUAAGCUCCGGCUAACUACGUG
Molecule: ribosomal RNA, 433 nt
Filed under: uncultured bacterium
Lineage: Bacteria
Description: partial 16S ribosomal RNA
Rfam family: Bacterial small subunit ribosomal RNA
Source: RNAcentral